RNAcentral lists this long non-coding RNA (2141 nucleotides) under Marmota monax (woodchuck). Lineage: Eukaryota; Metazoa; Chordata; Mammalia; Rodentia; Sciuridae. The record is from RNAcentral.
GCCCUCUAAGUGCGCUCAGCUGGGAGGCAGCGGGCUGCACCGACUCACCCGCUCGCUUGCAAAGGCCGGGCGGGCCUGCGCCCGGCCCCCUGCGCCCGGCAUAAAAGGAGCAAGCGGGGUUUGGGCUCUGGCGCUCCUUCCUGCAGCUCACCUUCGUUUGCACCUGUUGCUUCGGAUCGCCAGCUUCAGUCGGACUCGAGAUGGACCCCAACUGCUCCUGCGCCACUGGUAAGGGUCCCUGACUUGAUUCUGAACUACAGAAUAAAGUGUCCCUAGGUUUUAGGAAGUCACUUUUGGGGGGGAAGAGGGGGGUACCGGGGAUUAAACCCAAGGGCACUCAACCACUGAGCCACAUCCCCAGCCCUGUUGUGUAUUAUAUUUAGAAACAGGGUCUCACUGAGUAGCUUAGCGUCUCGCUGUUGCUGAGGCUGGCUUUGAACUCGAGAUCCUCCUGCCUCAGCCUCCUGAGCCGCUGGGAUUACAGGGCGCCACCGCGCCUGGCAGGGUCACAUUUUGAGUUCUGAGCUAAAUGGAUUCUUCAUUUGCUCUCUAUGUUCCUUUUUCACUGAGCUCCUGACAAUACUUCUAUCUUCCCCGUGUCUGCACGUGGGGAGGAGUUCAGGGCACUGAGACUCAAUGCUGUCCUCCUGAUGUCACUCAACUGGGUGGCUACUGGCUCCAGGCCUUGGAGUAGUUAGGGUGAUUGAAGGCAGAGGAGGUUGCUUCUUUGGAACUCGGGAGAUAAUAAGAUCUUGGCCUCCAGUCCUAGUUAUCCUGGGCUGGAGUCUGGGACCUUCUUUGUGAAGUAAAAGCAGGAGGUAGCACUUCCUCUUCCUGGAAGGGAAGAGAAGAAAGACCCUGCUUCUCUGCCUCCCGCUUGAGCUGGAAAGGAGCUCUUGGGACUGGCCCUGCUUGAGAAGCAUCUCUGGAGGUUAAUGGCAAGCACUGUUAUGGCUGCAUCUCCUGGCUCACUGCCUCUUUCCUUCCAGGUGACUCCUGCACCUGUGCCGGCUCCUGCAAAUGCAAAGAGUGCAGAUGCACCUCCUGCAAGAAGAGUGAGUGGGGGCCCUUCCUUGGGAAGCUGGGCUGGCUGAGUCAGAGGAGCCACUCAGAGCUCAGCAGGCAGGAGGGGGCCAAUGAGCGUCUUCAUCCCCGUCCCUCAGCACCUGAUUCAGAAACAGAGGGCUAAAAGAGCCAUAGAGAAGGGAGAGUCCCAACCUCUCAUUACAGAACUGUGAUCCCGAGGCCUGGAGAGGUCACCUACUUGUGUCAGGGUCUGAGUCAGAUUCUGAACGUAGGCCUUGCUUCUUGAAACAGCUUUCUCCAUAUACCCAGGUCCUGAUGUACUCGGCCCACAGGAUCUUGGGGUUUCUGACCGGCUGGGUCAGGCUUUUCCUGUAGUCAUCCUAGCGCUUCCCUGGCCCUCGCCAGAGCUGCUUUGUCAGGGGUUUGCCCUGUCUUGAGUGUUCUCAUUUCAUUGUAGAGUUCGGGAGACUUGGCUUUCCUUUACCACCCAGAGACCCAUGCCCUGCCUUUCCAGGCUCUCUGUCGUGUCGUCCUGAACUAAGGGUCCUGUGGGCUGGGGGCUAAGUCUGCUCUGACCUCUCAUUCUCCCCUUUGCUCCCCAGGCUGCUGCUCCUGCUGCCCCGUGGGCUGUGCCAAGUGUGCCCAGGGAUGCGUCUGCAAAGGGGCAGUGGACAAGUGCAGCUGCUGCGCCUGAGGUGGGGAGAGUCUUGUGACCACGUGUGCAUAGAGUGACCUGUGAAAACCUGGAUUUUUGUUUGUUUUUUACACUUCUCAUCCAUUUACAUAAAAUAUCUCAUUUCAUUUAAAUGCAUAUGGAAUUUGACAAUAAACUAUUUUGACUUCAUCUGCCUCAUGGUGUGGGGGGAUAUGGAAGUUGGUUCUCAUUGGGCUGUAGGGGAUUGCACUUUAAAGGAGGCAGGAGGGAGGAAUAGCAGGGACUGGUCCAAGUGCAUGCACACUAUUUUUUUUCUCCUAGUACCAACAUACAGAAGGAGUCCACUGAGCUACAUGCUCAUCUCCAGCCCUUUUUAUUUUAUUUUAUUUUUUUGAGUCAGGAUCUCACUAAGUCAUCCAGACUGGCCUUACAACCUAUGGUCCUCCUGCCUCAGCCUCCA